GCCAUGGCUGAGUGGCAGAGCAUCUGCCUGAUUUGCAGAAGGUCUCAGGUUCAAUCCCUGGCAUUAGCA
RNAcentral lists this transfer RNA (69 nucleotides) under Sphaerodactylus townsendi. RNAcentral describes it as "tRNA-Ile". It matches the Rfam family "tRNA". From Rfam's summary of the family: Transfer RNA (tRNA) molecules are approximately 80 nucleotides in length. The record is from RNAcentral. Lineage: Eukaryota; Metazoa; Chordata; Lepidosauria; Squamata; Sphaerodactylidae.